CUUCUCUUUGCUUUCAGCUUCUUUACAGUGUUGCCUUGUGGCAUGGAGUUCAAGCAGCAUUGUACAGGGCUAUCAAAGCGCAGAGAGUCGA
Anolis carolinensis (green anole) is the source of this 91-nucleotide microRNA precursor. Ensembl annotates it as aca-mir-107. Its record names the gene aca-mir-107. The record is from Ensembl. Lineage: Eukaryota; Metazoa; Chordata; Lepidosauria; Squamata; Anolidae.